UUUUGGUUUGUUUGUACUUUCCUUAUUUCAUAGAUAUGAUUUUUUAAGGAUUUUCUUUCUUUCACUUUUAUAUUACAGAAGUCUCCCCAGUCUCCCUGGUUUCUCUUUCUGUGGUUUCAUUUUCCAUGGUUCCAGUUAUCCACUGCCAGCCAUGAUCAGAAAAUAGUAUCGAGGAUGGGAUAUCUAAAAACUCAAUUCCCUAGCUUGCCUCACAGAUGAAAGCUGUAUGACUCUGGCCAGUGAGAUGUAAAGAGAAGGCCGCUGAUGUCACAUGGUCUCUUUCCAGUGUGCUCUGGAAGUGCUGUUGCCAUCUCUGCGGCAGUGGAGUUGAAAGCCAGGUUCCUGAAGGUUUUUUGCUCUUGGGAAGUCAGCUGCCAUGUUAUGUGAGCAGCACUAUGGAGAGAGACCCACGUGGUGAGGAACUGGAGCCUCCUGCCAACAGUCACGUGGCUGAGCUUGGGAGCUGAUUCUGUGGUCCCUUCAGAUGAUUGCAACCUCGUGAGAGACCCUGAGCCAGAGCCACCCAGCAAGGCCCCUCCCAGAUUCCUGACCUUCAAUUAAACUUCUGAGAUAUUAUUUCGACCACUUUGCAUUUGGAGAAACUGAGGCAGAGAGCAGUUAAAGAUUCUGUCCAAGUCUAUACAAGAGGCGGGAGAGCUGGGAUUUGAGCAGGUGUGUUUCUUAUUGCUGUAACAACAUUGAGCAGUUAGGGAGCAGACGUGCCUCUCUGGGGGAACUCACAAGUGUCCACUGGCCUAGCAUUCGUACUGAACCACAGAAGUUGUGGUCUCUGUCCCAGGCUUCAGCCAAAGGCAAAUCUUCCCUGUGACUGGUCCUUUUGUUGUCACCUGAGGCCACAGAGAAUACACUGAACCUGUUCAGUUCUUAAAGAUAUCUGGAGAAUGCAGUCUCAGACUGAUUGUUUGAGAAUUGCCAGCAUGUUCCAGAGAUUCUUUAGAUGUAUUGUUGCAUGGAGUA
This is a long non-coding RNA of Lemur catta (Ring-tailed lemur), 978 nucleotides long. RefSeq lists it as uncharacterized. The transcript is spliced from 5 exons. The record is from RefSeq and is a predicted model, not a curated record. Lineage: Eukaryota; Metazoa; Chordata; Mammalia; Primates; Lemuridae.